Molecule: unclassified non-coding RNA, 200 nt
Filed under: Helotiales sp.
Lineage: Eukaryota; Fungi; Ascomycota; Leotiomycetes; Helotiales
Description: partial internal transcribed spacer 2
Source: RNAcentral
UUAAGUUCAGCGGGUAUCCCUACCUGAUCCGAGGUCAACCAUAGAAAAUUUGGGGUUGUUGGCAAGCAACCGCCGGGACUCUGUAGCGAGAAAAAUUACUACGCUUAGAGCCAGACGGCACCGCCACUGAUUUUAAGAGCCGCUGGUGUGCGAACUCCAAUACCAAGCUAGGCUUGAGUGGUGUAAAUGACGCUCGAACA